CUGAGUCUGGACAGGACGUCACUCUGACAUGUCGAGCUCCAAACAACAAGAUCAAAUUUUUAAAGUGGACAAAAGCUUACCUGCAGUCAGAAGUUGUCAUUUUGCACUGGGAUGGUCACUUUGAUCCAUUUUAUCAGCAUCCAUCUUUUAAGAACCGGGUGGAUCUGCAGGACAGACAGAAUGUGACGAUUAAUGACAUACGAGUGUUGAGCUGAUGUGAGAGAAACACGCUUAUGGGAUCUCAGCAGCAUCUACCUGAGUGUUGUUGAUCCUCCAGAGAAACACACCACCACACCUCCACCUACAUUGAGCAGCUCACCUCCACCUACAUCCACACCUCCACCUGGUUCCACCUCCAUCACUCUUCCUCCAUCACUCUCUACUCCUCCUCUCUCUGUGCUGUUGCCUGUUGGAUCAGUCUAUGUUGUGGUUCUACUGGUGUUACUGGUUCUGCGGGUGAGACGUUGUGUUCACAGGAAACUUGAAGAGACUGAUUCAGCUGUGGUCUACUCAGCAGUGAGAACUGAAGACAUCAGUCAUGGACAAAGAACCAUGAGAACAAGGAGGCCCAGGUACAGCUGCUCUUUAUCUGUGACUGUGGACAGAGACAAGCUAGCUGCUCGCCCUGUUUACAGCCAUCAUGCUAAGCUAAGCUAACCAAACUACAUCGUGACUCAAGCCCAGAGCUCAGACAUCAAACUUCUCAUCUUUCUGUCCAAAAAC
This is a long non-coding RNA of Oreochromis aureus, 723 nucleotides long. Lineage: Eukaryota; Metazoa; Chordata; Actinopteri; Cichliformes; Cichlidae. The record is from Ensembl.